UCGCGUGACUUGUGGCAUUGCCGCCGCUUCCGGCCUCGGACUGCAAUGGCGGCGCCGGGCAGCGAGGAGGAGCGGGCGGGCGGCGCGGUGCCGGGCGCGGGGCAGUUUCACCUUGGCGUGGCGCGACGGCGUGGCCGGACGCUCCUGGUUCGGCAUUUGCCCGCCGAGCUGACGGCGGCGGAGAAGGAGGACCUGCUGCAGCACUUCGGGGCGGUGGCCGUGCGCGUCCUGUCGGACCACGGGCGGCUGAAACAUACUGCUUUUGCUACCUUUCCUAGUGAAAAUGCUGCUGUAAAGGCUUUGUCAAGACUGCAUCAGCUGAAACUUUUAGGGCACACUUUAGUGGUUGAAUUUGCAAAGGAGCAAGAUAGUGUGCAAGUACUUAGCCAGCCUUCGCUCUCAGACAAAUGUAAAAGUCCAGAAGAGCCGGUGAAAGAAGAAGAGAAGAGAGAACCAAGCUGUCUUAAAAUAGAGAAUGGAAUUGCACCUAGCCAUGGCCUCACAUUUCCCAUCAAUUCUUGCCUCAAGUAUCUGUAUCCACCACCUUCAAGUACAAUUCUAGCAAAUAUAGCAAAUGCCUUGGCAAGCGUGCCCAAGUUUUAUGUACAGGUACUUCAUCUUAUGAAUAAAAUGAAUCUUCCUCCACCUUUUGGACCAAUUACUGCUCGGCCUCCCAUGUAUGAAGAGUAUUUACCAGUGCCUGUGCCACCCCCACCAAUUCCACCUCUGCCUCCUGAAGAGCCUCCUUUGCCUGAAGAGGAGGAAGACCAAAUCUCUAGUGGAGAUGAAUCAGAAUAUGAAAGUGAUAAUGAGGAGGAAAAAGAGAGAAUGACCAAAUUGAUGGAAUUAGCGACCCUUCAACCUAAAAGACCAAUAAACACAAAGAAGCGUGGUGUUAGAAAAAAGCAAAGAAUUAAGGACUUUCUGAAUGUUCCCACAUGUACUCCCCACAGUAAUUUGCACCCUACCCUGUCGCCUUCAGAUGUCUUUGAGCAACCACAGCACAUAGGUCUUAAAAAGAUUGAGUUCCAUAUUACUACUGACAUCCCAUCUGUUCUUCAGAUAAACUCAGAAAGAGAAGAAAAAAAUGAUCUUUAUGCCACCACAGAAGAAAUCAAUAAUACAGGAUUUGGAAGGAUUUUCCCAACUCCUAGCUCAAAUGAUAAAAUGGCAACAGAGGAAGAAGAUGAUGAAAUACCAUCAGAGUUUAUUUCUAGAAGAGAACUAGAGAAAAACAGACUUUCUAGGGAAGAAAUGGAAAAAUUUUCUGUUUUCAAAAACUAUGAGCCAGGUGAACCAAAUUGCAGGAUAUAUGUGAAGAAUUUGGCUAAACAAGUUCAAGAAAAGGAUCUCAAGUUCAUUUUUGGAAGAUACGUUGACUUCCAGUCAGAACUGGAACGAAAUAUGUUUGAUAUACGUUUGAUGAAAGAAGGACGUAUGAAGGGUCAGGCUUUCAUUGGACUUCCUAAUGAAAAAGCAGCAGCUAAAGCUUUGAAAGAAGCAAAUGGCUAUGUCUUAUUUGAAAAACCCAUGGUCGUUCAAUUUGCUCGUUCAGCUAGACCAAAGCAGGAUUCCAAUGAAAUUAAAAGAAAAAAAUAGAACAUAGCAAAAGGUUCCUUUUGUGUUCCGUCUCUUUCAAGAGGUCUCAAGCCUGGAGAAGAAGCAGUGUAAUCAUCAGGACUCUUCAACUGGCUUUGCUGGGCACAGUACAACCCCAACACUCAGGCUGGGAGGACGUCUAUUGUGCAUCUCUUUGAAUGGCGCUGGGCCGAUAUUGCUCAGGAGUGUGAACGCUAUUUAGCUCCUAAUGGGUUUGGAGGAGUUCAG
This is an RNA transcript of Numida meleagris (helmeted guineafowl), 1827 nucleotides long. It is a transcript of the gene named RNA binding region (RNP1, RRM) containing 3, with no coding region annotated. The transcript is spliced from 16 exons. Lineage: Eukaryota; Metazoa; Chordata; Aves; Galliformes; Numididae. The record is from RefSeq and is a predicted model, not a curated record.